CUACGGGACGCAGCAGUGGGGAAUAUUGCACAAUGGGCGCAAGCCUGAUGCAGCCAUGCCGCGUGUAUGAAGAAGGCCUUCGGGUUGUAAAGUACUUUCAGCGGGGAGGAAGGGAGUAAAGUUAAUACCUUUGCUCAUUGACGUUACCCGCAGAAGAAGCACCGGCUAACUCCGUGCCAGCAGCCGCGGUAAUACGGAGGGUGCAAGCGUUAAUCGGAAUUACUGGGCGUAAAGCGCACGCGGGCGGUUUGUUAAGUCAGAUGUGAAAUCCCCGGGCUCAACCUGGGAACUGCAUCUGAUACUGGCAAGCUUGAGUCUCGUAGAGGGGGGUAGAAUUCCAGGUGUAGCGGUGAAAUGCGUAGAGAUCUGGAGGAAUACCGGUGGCGAAGGCGGCCCCCUGGACGAAGACUGACACUCAGGUGCGAAAGCGUGGGGAGCAAACAGGAUUAGAUACCCCCGUAGUC
This 464-nucleotide ribosomal RNA is filed under the name uncultured bacterium. RNAcentral's name for it is "partial 16S ribosomal RNA". It matches the Rfam family "Bacterial small subunit ribosomal RNA", at positions 339 to 795 of the family's 1533-position model. The record is from RNAcentral.